UGCAUGGUAGUCAAGUGGGUAAAGCGCAUAUAGCUAUUUAUUUGGUAUCAAACGUCGAUGGUUCGAUUCCAUCCUAGAGCAA
This is a non-coding RNA of Rhamnusium bicolor, 82 nucleotides long. The record is from the annotation of a GenBank genome assembly. Lineage: Eukaryota; Metazoa; Arthropoda; Insecta; Coleoptera; Cerambycidae.